AUCAUCAACUCUGUCACGUGA
RNAcentral lists this microRNA (21 nucleotides) under Oreochromis niloticus (Nile tilapia). Its description in RNAcentral is "oni-miR-10927". Lineage: Eukaryota; Metazoa; Chordata; Actinopteri; Cichliformes; Cichlidae. The record is from miRBase by way of RNAcentral.